GUGGGGAAUUUUGGACAAUGGGCGAAAGCCUGAUCCAGCCAUGCCGCGUGCAGGAUGAAGGCCUUCGGGUUGUAAACUGCUUUUGUACGGAACGAAAAGACUCCUUCUAAUAAAGGGGGUCCAUGACGGUACCGUAAGAAUAAGCACCGGCUAACUACGUGCCAGCAGCCGCGGUAAUACGUAGGGUGCAAGCGUUAAUCGGAAUUACUGGGCGUAAAGCGUGUGCAGGCGGUUAUAUGAGACAGAUGUGAAAUCCCCGGGCUCAACCUGGGAACUGCAUUUGUGACUGUAUAGCUAGAGUACGGUAGAGGGGGAUGGAAUUCCGCGUGUAGCAGUGAAAUGCGUAGAUAUGCGGAGGAACACCGAUGGCGAAGGCAAUCCCCUGGACCUGUACUGACGCUCAUGCACGAAAGCGUGGGGAGCAAACAGGAUUAGAAACCCUAGUAGUCC
RNAcentral lists this ribosomal RNA (450 nucleotides) under uncultured bacterium. RNAcentral's name for it is "bacterial SSU rRNA". It matches the Rfam family "Bacterial small subunit ribosomal RNA", at positions 354 to 796 of the family's 1533-position model. The record is from RNAcentral.